Molecule: ribosomal RNA, 301 nt
Filed under: uncultured bacterium
Lineage: Bacteria
Description: partial 16S ribosomal RNA
Rfam family: Bacterial small subunit ribosomal RNA
Source: RNAcentral
CAGUCGCCGCGGUAAUGCGUAGGUGGCAAGCGUUGUCCGGAAUUAUUGGGCGUAGAGGGCUCGCAGGCGGUUUCUUAAGUCUGAUGUGAAAGCCCCCGGCUCAACCGAGGAGGGUCAUUGGAAACUGGGAAACUUGAGUGCAGAAGAGGAGAGUGGAAUUCCACGUGUAGCGGUGAAAUGCGUAGAGAUGUGGAGGAACACCAGUGGCGAAGGCGACUCUCUGGUCUGUAACUGACGCUGAGGAGCGAAAGCGUGGGGAGCGAACAGGAUUAGAUACCCCAGUAGUCCCUGUCUCUUAUAC